CAAUCCCCUUUCCUCUCUCUCCAACUCUCUUCCCCCUUUCCAGCCCUCAUCCCUCUGCCUCAUCCCCUUUACCAACGCGCUUUUUUCUCUCUCUCUCUCUCUCUCUCUCCUCCAUUCUCUCGGCCUCAUCCCAUCUGCGUCCUGUUGCCCUUUCCCUCUAUGGUCUCACUGUGUGAUGCGUCCAACGGUACCCCAAUUCUUAGGGCCAGUGAAUUCAGCUACCAAAUAAUUCAAGAAUUCUACAAUGGAUUGACUGUUUCUUAAUUGUGUUUGACGGUAUUCUCCAAGACUUAAAUACUAAUCAAACAAUCUUCCUCGAAGUCAUACCAAGACUUUGGAAAUUGUGCUUGCUAAUGUAUUUGCAGGGUUUAGCAUUUCUACAUGCUUCCAUCUUUGUAUUUCUCGGAAUCUUUCAGUCCAUUUUGAAGGAGGGAUGUCAUCAAUUGUAAAACCUUUAGAUGAAUCUCCAUAUGUAGGGUUUUGAGGUAUAGGUUCUUCAUCUAUAAGUGGGUCUGGGUCUGGGUCAGCAGGUUGUUCAGGGGGAUCCAUCAUGAACAAAGGGUCUGAAGAAACAGAGAAUGAAGAGGCUAGGAAACUUGUUGUGUCAGAAGAUUCUGAGACAAAAUCAGAGGAUUGGGUUUCUGUUUGAAGGUUUAACUCAGGUUGUUUGGUAAGGUUUUUAAAGAAUGAACUCAUAUCUUGCAAAGGUUCUGAUUGAGUAAGGUGUUGGGUGAACACAGAAGAUGCAACAAUAUCAAAGUCAGAAUCUGAUGCUUGAAGCAUUUGAGUUUCAUUUGUAGGGAGGGUUGGAGGUUGUGUCACAGGAGUAGAAGGUUGCUGUUGAGUAACACGAGGAGGUGUUGGUUCAGGUGCCUAAGAGGUAAUUGGGAUAGUAACAUUUGGCUUUUUUCUUAAUUGAGGAAAAAACAUUUCCUCCGAGAAACGCCUUUCACCAUCAAAAGCAUUUGAAGAUUGAAAGCCAUACUGUCUAGGAGGUAUUAGGCCAGUAGGAGGGUAAAUGGUUCUUGUAGGAGGAAAAGGGUCAGAAUAUCUCAAAGUUGGGUAACUUGGGAUAUAAGGAGUACUUGACAAGGGUUGAAGUUGAGGCAGGUUAGGAGAAGACUGGUAUGAAGUUUGAAGGUACUGAGAUUUCAUCCAUAGGUCUUUUUCCAAGCGUUGUAGCUGUGUUUCCAAAAAUGCUUUUUCUCUUCCUUUCUGUACCAGCAAGUACGACUGUAAAUGUGUGUCCUUAACAAAAUGGAGAAUCAGCAUUAGCUCCUCAUGCAAAGAUUGUAUCUUUUCUUUCAAAUCAGUAAUUACGCUAACUAACCCUUUUAAUUGAGAAGAUAUCAGAUUUUGUUUUUCCUCAAGUUGGAGCAGGGCUAAGUUCUGAGACUUAGCAUUUCCGGCCUGCUAGUUAAGGCUUGCUUCGGCUGGGGAAAUAGUCUUUAAUGUGCCUGACGAAUCUCUAGUGCUAAUUUAUUUUCCACACAUGCUUUUCAUGUUCUUGGAUUUUCUCAUAAUCAUGCAAAGGAGGAAAAUUAAUAGCAUAAUUAGAUCCCUGAGGGUCAAAAGCCAUGCGGUCAGCAAUAUUAGGUUUAUCCUUAGUAUCAGGUUUAUCAUCCCAUCCAGUAGGAAUAAUGGGUCCAGUAGGGUAAGGAAUGCGAUUGCCAUAGGUAACAUAGUAAUCCCAUUUCCCGAAAGGUUCACCAAGUAAUCCAACUGUUGGAUCUCCUUCGAUAUAUUUCUGAUGGAGUUUUUGUUGGGAAGAAAGUUUCUUUUUCUUUUGAGACAAUUUCCUUUCUUUCUUCUCGUCAAAGCCAUCAUCAUUUUGAAUGCACGUAGGAUAAUCACAACAAUCAAACCAAUUGUGUCCAUCCACAGUUUUUUGCUCAUAGAUGGGUUUUCCAUUUUUAUCAAAAGCAAUUACUGGGACUUUUUCAAGGAAUCCUUGGAAUUGAGUGGGGAAUAUUUAUCUGGUAUCAUUGGAUGAAUGAAAAUCUAUUUGGAUAGUUCCAUCUUGCAUCCUGGUCAUUCUAGAUUCUGAUUGUAUCACCGCCUGACUCUGGGUUUGUAAAUUUUCAUAAUUUGUGACCCAAGAGGAGGGAAUCAAUUCAAGCAAUCGUGCCCUUGAAAUUUGUCUAGGGAUGUAAUGGCAAACAGGUUGGGAAUUGUUAUCAACUUUGUUGAACAAGGCAGUAUUUUCACAUUCAGGGGGUAAAGGUAUAACAAUGUCAAAAGCUUAGGUAGGGGUCUUUGAUAGGAAUGUUGAAAUUAGGAAACAAGGCAACAAAGAUGGUGUCAGCAUUAAGAGUUGUUUGGAUAGUACCAAUGCAUGCAUGCUGGUAUUCUAGAAACCGGGUAUCUAGCAAUGCAAUUCUAGUUACAACUUCCAUUCUUUUCCUACCAUGAAAGGUUUAGGCUAGUUUAAUAAUGUCUAAGGUAAGAGAUGAGUUUUCUGGCAUGAAAGUUGAAGCAAAUGUGGUAAUUUUGGGUGAGAUACCAAAGAAAGCAAAUAACUUCUUUUGGUAUGUUAUAAAAGUGCCGGGUUUGGAAAAGGGACAGAAAAGGGUAAUUUGGAUGGCAUCGAAUUCCUUGUAUGCAAUCUCCGUGAUUUCUGACUACAAUUUCAUGCAUUUUUUGUUGCAUUAGAUCAUUCCUGGAUAUUAAGGUUCUUUUGAGAAUAUCUUCAUGAAGUUCAUCAGGCAGGUCAUGCUCAUUAUCAUCAAUGGUGAUAAUUGCACCUAAAAAAGGAAUAAUAGAGGAGAGAUUCUCUUCUGAAAACCUUUUUCUUGAGAACAUAUUAGCCAAAAUAUUAUUUUUCCCUGAAAUGUGCUUAUAUUAAAAAAUGGUAGGUAACCAUGAUCAGGAAGUAGCAAAAGCCAUAGUCUGUGGUUUCACAGGAUGGCUUAGAGGAUGGUGGGAUUUUUACUUAAAUGAUACUACUAAAAAUCAAAUACUCACCAACACUAGACAAUGGAUAGUAAAAAAUGAACAGAAUCAGAAUAUACCAUACAGCGAAAGUGACGCUGUUAAUAUUCUCAUAUGCACAAUAACUCUUCAUUUUGUAGGGAGUACAGCCUUGCUCGAAGCAAGAUCUGAAGAUCUACUUUAAGAUGCCCUACUUUAUCCCACUAUAAGUGGUAUAAAGAUGUUUUUCUUUUCAAAUUAUUAACUAGAGAAGAUAGUCAUUUAGAUCAUUGGAACGAAAAAUUUAUUGACGGAUUAUCCUAUCUCUUUGCUAAAAAAGUUAAAAAUCGCCUCAAAACGAAACAUGGGGGUCUUAUACCAUAUUCCAUUUAUACCCUAGGAGAACUUUCUGCAGAAAUAUGUGCUGAAGGAUUAGCCCUAUGCACAGAUUUAAAAUCAAAAAGACAAUUAGACAAACAAAGAAUGGCUGGUAGAAAAGAAUUAGGUGAUUUUUAUGAACAAUUUAGAUAUAGUAUCAAUACUUCUCUAAAUAAACCAGGCAAUAAGAGGAAAGAUAAAUCUUUUAAAAAAGAAAAAAGAACAUCCAGGAAAUAUAAGA
Non-coding RNA from Amborella trichopoda, 3529 nucleotides. The record is from RefSeq and is a predicted model, not a curated record. NCBI's taxonomy places the organism in Eukaryota, Viridiplantae, Streptophyta, Magnoliopsida, Amborellales, Amborellaceae.